Molecule: ribosomal RNA, 253 nt
Filed under: uncultured bacterium
Lineage: Bacteria
Description: partial 16S ribosomal RNA
Rfam family: Bacterial small subunit ribosomal RNA
Source: RNAcentral
UACGAAGGGGGCUAGCGUUGCUCGGAAUCACUGGGCGUAAAGCGCACGUAGGCGGCUUUCUAAGUCAGGGGUGAAAUCCUGGAGCUCAACUCCAGAACUGCCUUUGAUACUGGAGAGCUUGAGUCCGGGAGAGGUGAGUGGAACUCCGAGUGUAGAGGUGAAAUUCGUAGAUAUUCGGAAGAACACCAGUGGCGAAGGCGGCUCACUGGCCCGGUACUGACGCUGAUGUGCGAAAGCGUGGGGAGCGAACAGG